CACAGGAAUGCUUUUCAAUUUAAACUAUAUUUUUCCCUUCUUAAUAUAAAAAAAAAGAAGGGAAAAAUAAUAAAUUUAAAUAUAGUUUGUUUAAAAAAAUUAAAAACUUUCUUUAUAUUUUAUAAAAAAAUAAAUUUUGUGUAAAAAAAUAGAAGAAGAAUUUAUAAUUUUACUAAAUUGUAAAAUAGAAGUUUUUAAAAAGAUUUGGCUAAACUUGUGCCAGCCGCCGCGGUUAUACAAGUAAAUCUUUUUUUAAAAAAAUUAAAAUAUAAUAAAAUUAUUUAUAAAUAAUUUUAUAAAAUUAAUAAAGGUGAAAUUUAUAAUUUUAAUAAAAAUAAUUUUGAUUUUAAAGAAAUUUAAUAUCUAAACUAGGAUUAGAUACCCUAUUAUUUUAAGCUAUAUAUUGGUAGUAAAUAUAAUUUAUGAAAUCAUAAAAUUUUGGCGGUAUUUUAAGCUUAUUAGAGGAAUUUGCCCUGUGAUGGAUACAACGCCUGAAUCUUACUUAAUUUUGUUAUUCAAAUUCAGUUUGUAUACCACUAUAUUUAGAUAUAUUGAAUAGUUAUAUUUUAAAUUUUUUAUUCAAAAAAUAUAUUAAGUCAUGGUGCAACAAAUAAUUAUGAAUGAGGUGAAUUACAUUAAUUUUUAUGUUAUUUAUUUUUUGAAAAAAGAUUUUUAGGAUUUAAUAGUAAAAUAUUAAUAUUAUGAAUAUUUGAAUAGAGCUCUAAAAUAUGCACAUAUCGCCCGUCGCUCUCAGGAGUGAGAUAAGUCGUAACAAAGUAAAAAUACUGGAAAGUGUUUUU
RNAcentral lists this non-coding RNA (800 nucleotides) under Ixodes pacificus (western blacklegged tick). The record is from RNAcentral. Lineage: Eukaryota; Metazoa; Arthropoda; Arachnida; Ixodida; Ixodidae.